RNAcentral lists this ribosomal RNA (474 nucleotides) under Triticum aestivum (bread wheat). RNAcentral's name for it is "partial small subunit ribosomal RNA". Lineage: Eukaryota; Viridiplantae; Streptophyta; Magnoliopsida; Poales; Poaceae. The record is from RNAcentral.
AUGGGUGGGAGGAAUAUCGGAGUUGCUGUGGACUUCUCAUCGUGCAGCAAAGCGGCUCUGCGAUGGGCGUCAACCAACCUUGCCAGGAGCGGUGAUCAACUCGUGCUGAUCCAUGUCAACAACUCCUACCAGAAUGAGCAAGGAGCGAUGCAUCUCUGGGAACAGAGUGGUUCACCGCUCAUCCCUCUGGUAGAGUUCUCGGACCCCCAUGUCACCAAGAAGUACGGCCUGUCACCGGACAAGGAGACGCUGGAGAUCCUGGCCCAAGUGGCACAUCAGAGCGGGGUUGAGGUCUUUGGGAAGAUACUCUACGGCGACCCGACCAAGAAGGUGUGUGAGGCAGUCGACCUGGUUCCCCUCAGCUGCCUGGUCAUCGGAAGCAGAGGCCUGAGCACGCUCAAGAGGGCUCUUGGUGUGUUCGCCCGCGUCUGCUUUGUAUUCUCACAGAUACUAUAUUUCAUAGCAACACCAUGA